UUAAUAUUAAUAGAAGACUUUAAAAACAGUCUUCCAGAGCGAGUUUCAACUUACUUAAAUGAACAUAAGGUCUGUGAUAUUUUUAAGGCUGCUGUCUUAGUUGACGAAUAUGUGCUUACACAUAAGAAUGUCUUUGUAGAUCGUCCUUUUUGGAAUGUUUGUAAGCCUUUUGAGAACCUGAUUCCUACUGGGAAGGAUAGGCAUAGUGAAGUCGUUGAGGGGGGCAGAAAUGCUGGUCCCUCAGAGCUUGAUGCUGAGGAUGAGUUGAAGGUAAAAGACAUCAUGUGCUUUUAUUGUAAAAAAAAAAAAAGACAUAUUGUGGCAGGCUGUCCUGUGUUGAAAAAGCGAAGUGUGAAGCCUUUAGCUUUAGUAAACAAACUUGAUAAAAAUUUAAAUUAACCUGUGUUGUCUAAAGACAUGUCUAGUGACCUGACUGUAUUUACUCCCUUUAUUAUGGAUGGUGUUGUCUCGUUGCCUGGUAACAAACUUAAAGUGCCGGUAAAGAUUCUGCGGGACACUGCUGCCUCCCAGUCUCUUAUUUUGGAAGGAGUUUUGCCAUUCGGUAAUGAGUCUGCUGUGGGUUCUGACGUUCCUGUGUUGGGUUUUUGUAUGGAAGACGUUGAUGUGCCUCUGCAUAGGGUCUGUGUGGAGUCUGACCUUGUGUCAGGAGAGGUGUCUGUCGGGGUGCGUCCUGGUUUCCCUAUAAAAGGGAUUGCCUUUUUGAUGGGGAAUGAUUUGGCCGGUGGAAAGGUGUUGGUUAAAACUGAAGUGACGCCGAUUCCUGUUAGGCAGGUUCCUGAUGAGCUUGCUCACAAGUUUCCCAAGGUUUUUACUGCAUGUGCUGUUACUCGAUCUGUGUAAACAGGAUGAGGAGGGAAUUGAUUUCAGUGAAAGUUUUCUUGUUGAUCCAGAUAAUGGUCACUCAUUUUCUCCAGUGGGGGCUGAGAGUAAUGCCACAAGGGCAGAGACCUUUCCUGAGGCUGAGCGUUUAUCCUUAUCUCGUAUAACAGUUGAUUGAUGCGCAGAAAAAUUGUUAUGUUGUCUCCUUUGUUUGAAGAUGCAAUAGCUGGAGAGAAAGUUGUACUUCUGUCAACAGGUUAUUUUGUGAGAUGGUUUGCUGAUGAGUAAAUGGAUGCCAUCCAGUGCAUCUGCUGCAGAUGACUGGAGGGCUGUGACCCAAAUUGUAGCUCCAUGUGCAUAUCGAGCAGAGAUUUUGAAUCUGGCUCGUGAUAGUCCUCGUAUAAUCGUAUUUUGCGCCAUUUCUUUUGGCCUGGGUUAAUGAGGGAUGUUUCACGUUACUGUAAGUCUUGUCAUCUAUGUCAGGAAGUUAGGAAACCAGACCAUCCCUCCUGCUCCAUUAUAUCAGAUUCCGGUGGUAUGUGAGCCAUUUGAACGGGUUCUGGUUGACUGUGUGGGCCCCCUGCCUCGUACAAAAACUGGUAAUAAGUUUUUGUUGACUGUGAUUUGUGCAUCCACUCGAUUACCAGAAGUGUUCCCUUUAUGGAAGAUCUCAACUCCAGUGGUUUUGAAGGCUUUGACAAAGUUUUUUUUCAUUGUUUGGUUUGCCGAAGGUUGUACAAACCGACCAGGGUUCAAACUUUAUGUCAUGGGUGUUUGCUCAGGUGCUGAAGCAGUUAAAUAUUAAACACUGUCAUUCUAGUGCAUACCAUCCUGAGAGUCAGGGUGCACUUGAACGUUUUCACCAGACAUUAAAAACCAUGUUGUGUACUUAUUGCCUGGAGUUCGAGAAAGAUUGGGAUGAAGAAGUUCACAUGCAGAUGUUUGCUGUAAGGGAGGUGGUUCAGGAGUCUUUGGGGUUUAGUCCAUCGGAGUUAGUAUUUGCCCAUACUGUGCGUGGGCCAUUGAAGUUACUUAAAGUGGCUGUAUGAGGGGACAGAACAAAACUUGUUGGACUAUGUGAGUAACUUCAGAUUUAAAUUACGCAGAGCUUGUGAGAUAGCUGGGGAUAAUCUUGAAGCAGGGCAGGAUGACGGUGUGGUUUGAUAAACGUGCUCAAAAUAGAGAAUUUCUGCCUGGGGAUAAGGUUUGUGUUGCCGGUUCCUGGGUCUAGUUUGCAGGCUCGCUACAGCGGGCCUUAUGUGGUUCAGAAGAAGGUUGAUGAUAGACUACCUGAUAGCCACUCCUGAUCGCUGCCGUAGAUCUCGUCUAUGUCAUGUUAAUAUGCUAAAGUCUUACUGUGACAGGCAACAGAUGUAGCCGGACACGGGGUCCAGUUCUGGUGCAGGGGAGGGUGAGGGUGAGUAAAUAAAUCACUGUUUGCUGACGUUCCAUCUCAAACUCACUUGCUGAAGUAUGACACUGAUGUGGUGGAUAUACAGCCCAUUAAACAACAUCCGUAUUGAGUAAAUCCAGACAAACGUCGCCGUCUUAAGGAACAAGUGGACUAUAUGCUACAGCAUGAGCCCAGCUGUAGUGCGUGGAGCUCUCCGUGUUUGCUUGCUGAUAAAGCUAAUGGUGAAGAUUGUUUCUGUACUGAUUUUUAGAAAAGUGAAUGGGGUGACAAAGCCUGAUUGUUAUCCUCUUCCUCGAAUGGAGGAUUGUGUGGAUCACAUUGGGGGUGCCAAGUUUGUUACAAAACUAGACUGACUAAAAGGAUACUAGCAAGUACCAUUGACUGAGUGGGCAAAGGAGAUUUCACAUUCGUCAUGCCCGAUGAUUUUCUUUGCCUUUGGAAUGUGAAACGCGCCGGCUACCUUUCAGCGGUUAAUGAAUGUUGUUCUAUCUGUUGUUCCAUUCUGUGAAGCGUAUCUUGAUCUGGUGGUCUGUUCUGACUCAUCAGGAGCAUCUGCAUACAGUGUUUCGUCGUCUGAAAGAGGCAGGUUUAACUGUGAACCUGUUAAAGUGUGAGUUUGGACAAGCAACAGUGACUUAUCUUGGAAAAGUGGUGGGGGAGGUCAAGUUCGACCUCUUAAGGCGAAGGUGGAGUGUAUCGAGGCUUUCACUAUUCCAACCACCCGAACUGAGCUCCGCCGUUAUUUAGCGAUGGUUGGUUAUUAUCGGGGGUUUUGUAAAAAUUUCUCUGCUAUAGCCUCACCUUUAACAGACCUAAGCCCAAAAGUGGAGUUUGUAUGGUCCGAUACUUGUCAGUUGGCAUUUAAUCAGACCAAAAGCUUGCUGGUAAAAGCCCCUGUUCUUGCAGCGCCUCGGUUUGAUCAUCCUUUUAAGUUGGCUGUAGAUGCAAGUGACACUGGCGUGGGCGCUGUUCUUUUACUUGUCCUGGCUUUAGAACAUUUUGAUGUUUAUGUUGGCUCAUCUAUUGAUGUGAUGGUUUAUACGGACCAUAAUCCGCUGGUUUUUCUGCAGAAAAUGCGGAAUAAGAACAGACGAUUAAUGAGUUGGAGUUUGCGGUUGCAGACCUUCAAUGUGGAAGUCAGAUACAUCCGUGGCAGGGAUAAUGUUCUGGCUGAUGCACAUACUGGGUUGCUGCUUCCAUGUUUGUUUAUGCCAGCUCUCCUGGAAACCCCGUUAUUAACGUCACAACACUAUGAACUGUGGGUAAUUCCGUCAGGCAAAGUCUGCAGAGCCCACAAAGGGCUCAAAAGGUCUGCGAGAGAGAGCCCUCAUGUGCUUGACAAUUUGACAGUGGGACAGCCCAUGCCCUCAUGGACUUACCGGGAAUGUACCUCUGAGUCCAUGAGUGUGGAGAUUGGGAUUCAGCCAUAGACUACAACAUGAGAUGAUUAGAGAUCAGCCAAGUGCAACAGUUUUUUUUUUUUGUCCAAGUCAGACAGAAGGGAGAUUUAGAUUUGCAUAUAUAUGUUUAAAACAGAAAAUCAAGAAGUAAGCUCUAUUAAAAUGUUGCAGUGAGACAGAAGGAGAGCCGUGUUUUGAAAAGGCAUCAGAACAACUUGAUGGACCAUGAAGGCGCAUUGCUCAGCCGCCAGCCCCGGACACACAUGGAUGGCAGUCACACAGUUCACUUUCACUGAGGCAAAACCGAUAGUCUCCUUUUGUUUUCAUGAAUCCAGUGCUGCUUGGCCUUUCCUCCCAUCUUGUGUUCCUGUCAGUUUCAAGCUCAACCUGACUGAGCUGGUCUGAUGCUCAGGAAGCCGUUUGUACAAGUUGCCCGCCUCAUACAGGAAGUGCUUUGUUUCUCUCUGCAAAUAUUUCAUCACCCUGCCUGCAGGCUCCAACAGCCCCCUGCUAUUCUGAAAAGGACACACAUCUGCCUUAUAUGAUGUUGCAGUAUAUCUUUCACACACUACAGCUGUUUUGUAACCACUCCUUUUAAUCCACCUUAUUUUGCAGCACUACCAUGUUUUUCUGUUUCACUGCAUUCAUACAUAAAACUGCUCUUACGCUGACAUACUUGCAGGUACUGACAUAUUUGACUUAAUUGCAUGAAUAUAUGCUGUAAGAUACUGUGAUUUUGAAGAUUCAAAUCCAAAUUAGUCACUCACAGUUAACAGCUGUUCAAGUUUUUUACUUGUAGAUUAAUCUUGGAAAUUAAAUUCUGUUCUGCUCUGCUAUUACCCCUCUCCUCUGGCUCCUUUUUUUUCUGUUACAAUGGAUCUUAUGUGCAGUUGUACCUUUACAUCUUAGCCUAAUCAUAUUACACAUAAAAGAAGAGCCCAUAAAAUAGCCUACAUAAUAGAGAUUUGAAUUACAAUAAGAACACUGUGAAGAUAAUUAGGCUAAUUUACUCAAUGCGAUGCCAAAAAGCCGCCCUGGCUUUGUCGUCCGCCAUGAUGUUAGAUUUAGCCGUUAACUUGUCUUUACAUUCAUAAUUUCCUGACACUACCAAUGUGCAUUCCUCUGGAGAAAUAUGGAGCAUGCGCCAUUUCGAAAAAACUCUACCUGCACGGCCAAACAUGCCCCUUUUAUGCGAACGCGCACCAACUUCAAUUAAGUUAACAACGGGUUAACACGGGCUCAACUAACAAACAUCUUAUUCACCUUUGUAGUACUGUUUAACUCUAGUGUAGGCGGUCAGAGUUUGCCUGAUAACCCCGAGUUAGGUCUAACUCUGAAUAGGUCGAUCACCCUUCGAAGUAGCCUACAGGCAAACUCAGAGUUGACAAACUCUGACUGCCUACAUUGGUAUUAAACGGCAGGCCUACUACAAAGGUGGAUAAGAUGUUGGUUAGUGGAGUCGAUGUGUCUUGAGGGGUGUGUUCAGCCGUGUAGACAGAGGUUUUCACAACGGCGCGUGCUCCGUAUUUUCCACAGUAGAAUGCACAUUGAUUGUGUCAGGAUAUGAAGAGUGUAAAGACACAUUUAGGCCAAAUCUAACACCGUGGUGGCCAACAAACCCAGGGAGGCUUUUUGGCAUCGCAUUGAGUAAAUUUGUAGCCUAAUUAUCUUCACAGUGUACUUAGUGUAUGUAUUUUAUGGGCUCUUCUUUUAAGUGUAAUAUGAUUAAGAUGUAAAGGUAGAACUGCACAUAAGGUCCAUUGUAGAAAGAAAAGGAGCCAGCGGACAGGGUUAAUAAUCCGAGACAAAAUAAUUUCCAAGAUUAAUCUACAAGUAAAAAACUUUAAUAUUCUCUGACAUUAUAGUCACACAUUUAUGAGAGAAACUUCACUUUGUAAGGCUGCAACAUCACACACAUGUCUGCCAUGUAGGCUAUUAUGCAUGCAUUGGAAAGUUAUAUUAAACUUAAAUACUGUGUUUAGCUCAAAAUCACUAUCAUGCAACUUAGAGACUUUGCCUUGGAUUCGGCGUAUUCAGAAGAAAACACCAGAAUGAUUUUUUUUUACGACAUUAAUUUCAGGGAAUUUUCUUCUUGUAAGUUUCACACUUUCAUCUAGGAUUUUUUUUCUUGGUUAUUAACCCCGACCCUGGCUCCCUAUUUUUUGGAUAUGUAAAAUAGUCUAUAUAAAUAUGUGAAAACAAACAGGCGAAUUCAACUGUCCCGUUAAUUAAGAUUCCUCUCUAAAAUCACAGAGGCUGCAGGGCUCGCUGUCUGAAUGUAAUGCUGUUGUGUUCAGAACUGCAACCGCAGUGGAACAAAUCAGGAUGAAAUCUAAAUAUAUUUUAUGAAGUGGUGUGUAAUAAUUACCUACUUCUCAUCAUUAACGCUGACUACACAUGUGGUGUGUAGUGUGCGUGCAGGGUAACCUCGAGUCAACCAUCAACACAACCUGCUCGGAGCAGUUUAGAGAUGCAGCGUAAAUUGCCAUGGCAACAGACCUCGGGUAACAACUAUCCCCCUUUUGUAGUACGGGUUAACCGGGAAGUUACACCCGACGUCACGAAGUUACUCCUCAAGUUACCUCGCUUCGUAGUAGCCUACAGGCCACUGGCCAGCUCUGCACUCCUGGAUUGUUGUGUCCUCUGAAUCUACCACACGCCAGCUUUCUUGUCAGUCUAGUUUCUAGUCUUGUGUUUUGCUUGCCUGCCCGAUUAACCACUUUAUUUUCUCUGCUUUAAGGAAAUUGAUCAGUCUCCUGGAUCUCCUGCCUGCCCAGCUUGCCAACACUCCCGUCUGGAUUUCAUCCCCCCUCACCAGCCAGUUCCCUCUCACUUUCUCCCACUGUCAGCGGAACCCGGACUCAGCCCGUAUUCCUUUUUCCACCACCUAUUCUGCCCUUCAGUUGAAUGUUCUCUCUGGUAUUAAUAAACCUCUGUUGUCUUACCACCGGCUCUGGUCUGCAUCUGGGUACUGUUCAAACCUCUGACACCCUCUGAAGAUAGAUUCCCACGGCACUGUACCUUUAAAUGCUAUGGGGGGGGGCAAAUUUCCUUUGAAUGAAGAACAUGACUGCCUUGUGUUGAGCAAUUGCUGAUAUAAGGAAGUAAAAUAUGUGACCUUUUAGCAACCUUUUCUCCACCCCACAAAAUAAAAAUAAAAAGAGUUAUA
This is a long non-coding RNA of Micropterus salmoides (largemouth bass), 6823 nucleotides long. RefSeq lists it as uncharacterized. Lineage: Eukaryota; Metazoa; Chordata; Actinopteri; Centrarchiformes; Centrarchidae. The transcript is spliced from 2 exons. The record is from RefSeq and is a predicted model, not a curated record.